UCACGACCUGAGCCGAAACCGGCGAUGGGCCCUCAACCGACUCGGCGCCCUGAAACAUAGGAUUUCUGAGAUCCGUGAGGGACCUUGCCCUCUUUCCCGAAAGGAGGGAUGGAGGGUCAGCACCUCACCUGGCAGCUGGUUCGAAGUGCAGACCGCAGGUACACUCACAGCAGCCUAUCCAGGGAGCACCUGCGUUUUGACAAGAUCUUCAGGAGAUUCUUGUGCACGAAAGCCUCACAUGUGCUUUCCUAGUCCUCCUUUCCCUCAAAGACACAAAGUUCCCUUUAAGAUCUGGAAGAAGUGAAGGUCUAGCCAAUGGACUCGCUUCCUCGAGAAGAUUCUCAGCAAGUGCAAGAGGUGGAACUUUAUUCUGAAACCAAGCAAAAUAAAGCGUCCUCUUCUCGGGCUCCGACGGAUGCAGACCGAGGCUCCCCCAGUGGGGGAGAUGCCGUGUCUCUGCACCUGAGCUGUCCUCUGGAGGGAGUUUGGGCAAGAUGCUUCACUUCUCCAAGACAGUUUUCCCUUCUGUAAAAUGGGCAUGAGAAAAAAGAUCCUCCUUUCUGAGUUGUGGGGGAAGUUCACAGAUCCACACGGGGUGGACGGUGUGUUGGCAGCCAGGUGUGGCUUAUGAUGUCACUGCAGUGGGGAGGGCUGGAGCCGGGCUCCUCAUCGCUAAGUGGGGGUAAUGCCUGCUGCAUGGGCUGGCCCAAGGAUUAAGAGGCUAUGCACGCACGAUGCCAGGGUGACAGCUAUUAUUUUCAUAACAACUGGCUUGUGUAACUGCCCUGCGUGCAUGGCAAUCAGCCGUGGCUUCAGGGAGGCCCCGGUACCUGAAUCAUCCAAGGACAGGUGGGGGCAGGUGGAGGAAGAGGCCACUUUGGGCUGCGGCAGUGCCUUCUAGAUGGUUCACAGAGGCACGGUUUAUCCCAGGGCACUCAGGCCUAGAUUCCUGAGAGAAUCCGUAAGAAGCACUGAAGUUGACAUGACAUGUUGCUAAGUAGAUUUCUUUUAAGAGGCGUUCUCUCUCUGAGGUAAUGACAGAUGUGAGUGUUGCCAUGGUGACAGGUUGUCUGUUGGGAAGUAUACAGCACAAUGGUUCAGGUGGCUUGCCUACAAUUUAUGGCCGUAGAAUGUAAGCAAGGCCCCUUUUGGGAGAUUUCACCAAGGGGUCUUCUCCUUCUGGGUUCUGGUUUCCAAAGCCGACUUUAUUUUGUGCCUUGGGUGACUGCGCAAGACGGGGAGACCAUUGCAUGUAUUUAGAAGGACAGAAUCUAUGCACACCACACGGUUGAAAGUUCAGGGCUUUCCAGGAACUGAAGGUGGUUGAAAAAAGUGCCACGUGGAGCUUAGAGCGUCAAAGGGAAGCAGAAUCUGCAGCAAGCCUCGAAGUCAUUUUAAUACGACGAGCACUCGGGGAGUGCCCGCUGUGUGCUGAGGGUCCCACGGAGGUGGAGGGUGGGUGAUGAGGUACGAGUGAGCCGCGGUCCCUGCCCUUCAGAGGUCAGGGCAGAGAGCCCAACGCAGAGCGGACUGGGCUACAGGCUUCAAGUGCUAUGGACACAGCUGGGCGUUUGGGGGCUGGGACCAGUCCCAGUGUCAGGGCCGUGGUCUGGGGACUGUAGCAGGAUCUUGAAGGAUGAGCAGGGUUCCUGCAGAGUCCAUUUAUACAGCUGCCUAUCAUUUCAUCGUAUGGAAACACAACAUGUGUUUUUUUUGUUUUUUUGUUUUUUUGGGGUGGGGAGGGAUCUCCCCUUCGAGGCUCACCUAGGCUGCUUCCAAAUCAUCUCUGUUAUGAGCAGGGUGGUGAACACUGUCUAUGCCUUUUGAGCAAGACAGUUGAAGUAGAAGAUACAUGAGUGUAGGCAGUGUGUUGUUUUGUUUUAAGAAAGGCAGAUUCCCACCCGCAGCGCCUCAUUCGGACGUGUCUGGGGUCUUGGAAGCUUGUCUACCCUACGUUCUCCUCCCAGUGGUCCUUGAGAGCUUGCUGGGAGGUCCAUUGGUAGGAGGGGAGCACAGCCACUCAUAUACCCUUGCCCCAAGAAUGGUCCUCCUGUGCCGGGGACGAUCAUCCUCUUCCACCGAGCACGUAGCUUCUGGAGGGACACACAUGGGCGGAGGGGGACACCCGCCUAGCCAGCCGGAUCAGCCAGAUCAACUCUGGAGAUCAAUGGGGUGACAGAUGUCGCAGCCAGAAAGCCCCAGUAUCCUGUUCCAGAGAAGCGUACCCCCCAGGUCUCCCCGUCUGCCAGGGCCUGGCCUGCCAAUGUUUCACCUUGAGCAGAUGCAAAUCCUCGUCUUGGUGUUUUAUGGCCUCUGCAUCUGUUCUCUGAUUUUUCUGUAUUGUGUCUCUUUUGAAUGAGAGGAAAAAAUGCCCGUUUAUGGGAACAGAAAAAAAAACAAGUUUCAGGAAGUGCGGCUCAUUUCUUGGUGUACCAAUGAAUGGCAUCUCGUUGCUGUCCA
Molecule: long non-coding RNA, 2460 nt
Organism: Lynx canadensis (Canada lynx)
Lineage: Eukaryota; Metazoa; Chordata; Mammalia; Carnivora; Felidae
Exons: 2
Source: RefSeq, a predicted model, not a curated record